This 801-nucleotide ribosomal RNA is filed under the name uncultured bacterium. Its description in RNAcentral is "bacterial SSU rRNA". It matches the Rfam family "Bacterial small subunit ribosomal RNA", at positions 71 to 866 of the family's 1533-position model. The record is from RNAcentral.
AUUUGGUAGCAAUACUGAAUUGAGAGUGACGUAAGGGUGCGUAACACGUAUGCAAUCUGCCCUCAACAGGAGUAUAGCUCGGGGAAACUCGGAUUAACCCUCCAUAAGAUCACACGAAGGCAUCUGAGAGUGAUUAAAACGCAAGUGGUUGAGGAUGAGCAUGCGCAUGAUUAGUUAGUUGGUAGGGUAACGGCCUACCAAGACGAUGAUCAUUAGGGGAACUGAGAGGUUGAUCCCCCACACUGGCACUGAGAUACGGGCCAGACUCCUACGGGAGGCAGCAGUAGGGAAUAUUGCACAAUGGGCGAAAGCCUGAUGCAGCAAUGCCGCGUGUGUGAAGAAGGCCUGCGGGUUGUAAAGCACUUUCAGUAGGGAGGAAACAGUAACGGAACAAUACCCGUUGCCUUGACGUUACCUACAGAAGAAGCACCGGCUAACUCUGUGCCAGCAGCCGCGGUAAUACAGAGGGUGGCAAGCGUUGUUCGGAUCCACUGGGCGUACAGGGAGCGUAGGCGGUUGGGUAAGCCCUCCGUGAAAUCUCCGGGCCUAACCCGGAAAGUGCAGAGGGGACUGCUCAGCUAGAGGAUGGGAGAGGAGCGCGGAAUUCCCGGUGUAGCGGUGAAAUGCGUAGAGAUCGGGAGGAAGGCCGGUGGCGAAGGCGGCGCUCUGGAACAUUUCUGACGCUGAGGCUCGAAAGCGUGGGGAGCAAACAGGAUUAGAUACCCUGGUAGUCCACGCCUUAAACUAUGGAUACUAAGUGUCGGCGGUUUACCGCCGGUGCCGCAGCUAACGCAAUAAGUA